CGACAGGAGGCAGCACAGUUCUUUAUAGUGACUACGUCAGUAUCUCGUUAACGUAAGAUUAGUUUGUGGAAGUGUGCUUUGCUGCAACAUCAUGGCCUGGAAGACUUUGUGGAAAUACUGUAUUAUUUUGCUGCUGCAUACCAAGGCCUGAUAAGAGACUGCACAGCAGCAAACAUAACUACGAAGACAGUUCCAGCGGCUGUCAGUCCACCAAUCAACGCUGGAAAAAGCUGUCCGGUCAACUGUUUGAGAGGAACCUGUACAUUUCUUGAUGAUGGAAAUAUUGACUGCACAGAUGGGUGUAACGAUGGGUACAUGGGGAAAACGUGUAACUUCCCGUGCAUGAACAAAUGCUCAAAAUGUGAUCGAAAGAAUGCAAGCGUCUGUAUCAAGUGUGAUCACGGAUACUUUGGUAAACAAUGCCACAAAUGUCCAAAUGCAUGUGGAGGACAAGGAUGUCUUAGUGAUGGCAGAUGCAAGAAGGACUGUUUAGCCAUCCAUGUCUGUGGGGAUAAAUGUUUGCCCGGAUGUGAGAUAUGUAAUGAGACAUUAGGUAAAUGUCAGAAAUGUGCCUACAAUCUCAUGGGAGAGAACUGUAAGACCUCCUGUUCCGACAAUUGUCGCUCUGUUUGUCCAACACAGAACUGCACGUCUCCGUGUGAUAGGGACACGGGUCGAUGUUUACAUGGAUGUAAGCCUGGUUUCUGGGGAGAGCUAUGUGCAGAUCAAUGUAGCUCCAGAUGUCUAGACCAAAACUGUAAUCAAACAUCGGGACACUGUG
This is a long non-coding RNA of Haliotis rubra (blacklip abalone), 781 nucleotides long. RefSeq lists it as uncharacterized. The transcript is spliced from 3 exons. The record is from RefSeq and is a predicted model, not a curated record. NCBI's taxonomy places the organism in Eukaryota, Metazoa, Mollusca, Gastropoda, Lepetellida, Haliotidae.